This 497-nucleotide ribosomal RNA is filed under the name uncultured bacterium. Its description in RNAcentral is "partial 16S ribosomal RNA". It matches the Rfam family "Bacterial small subunit ribosomal RNA", at positions 28 to 507 of the family's 1533-position model. The record is from RNAcentral.
GACGAACGCUGGCGGCGUGCCUAAUACAUGCAAGUUGAGCGCUGAAGGUUGGUACUUGUACCAACUGGAUGAGCAGCGAACGGGUGAGUAACGCGUGGGGAAUCUGCCUUUGAGCGGGGGACAACAUUUGGAAACGAAUGCUAAUACCGCAUAAAAACUUUAAACACAAGUUUUAAGUUUGAAGGAUGCAAUUGCAUCACUCAAAGAUGAUCCCGCGUUGUAUUAGCUAGUUGGUGAGGUAAAGGCUCACCAAGGCGAUGAUACAUAGCCGACCUGAGAGGGUGAUCGGCCACAUUGGGACUGAGACACGGCCCAAACUCCUACGGGAGGCAGCAGUAGGGAAUCUUCGGCAAUGGACGAAAGUCUGACCGAGCAACGCCGCGUGAGUGAAGAAGGGUGUCGGAUCGUAAAACUCUGUUGGUAGAGAAGAACGUUGGUGAGAGUGGAAAGCUCAUCAAGUGACGGUAACUACCCAGAAAGGGACGGCUAACUACGUG